Long non-coding RNA from Zonotrichia leucophrys gambelii, 1051 nucleotides. RefSeq lists it as uncharacterized. The record is from RefSeq and is a predicted model, not a curated record. NCBI's taxonomy places the organism in Eukaryota, Metazoa, Chordata, Aves, Passeriformes, Passerellidae. The transcript has 5 exons.
AGGGAGCAUCCUUUAGUGAUGAGAGAAUUGCUUCUCUUCAUCUUGUGGGUACAAUCAUUGCUGCUGUGCUUUUACACUGAUGCUUCUCCACUGUGACACACUCUUCUUUCUUCAUUAAUUUCAGGAGAUGCAGUUUCACUAUCCACCAGCUGGCAGAGAAGUCACAAGCAGGUGCCAAAUGUGACAGCCCCUUCUUCCUGAGGCCAUUACAGACAACCAGAUACCCUGGUGUUUUCUCACCACUUACAAACACUGUGCAAGGACCUGGCAGUGGCAUGGACCAGGCAAGGCUGGGGGAUGCUCAUUGCUCUUCAGGGGCAGGGAGGCUGUGAGGUCACGGGCAGAGGAGCACCUGGGAGUGACACUCCAGCUGUGAGCUGUGUGUGAUGGGAGUCCCUCAGCCAGCUGAAUGGGAAUGGCUGCUCCAACAGCACUGAUCCCAACAGCACCGAUCCCACACAGAUGCUGCAAGACCCCUAAUGACUGCAGUGGAGCACAGUUCAAGCCACUCAGGCACCUACUUUCAGGAAUGUUGGAAAGAUAGGAUAUUUAAAUACUACCUCCAUCUAGUACCUACAGAGAGAACUAAAAGUCUGUAAGUUUUUUGAUGCCACAACAUAAAUGGAUGUUUAUCUUGUGAUAAAAGUAUGCCACACAAGCCUCUAAGAAGUCUGCACCUUCCAGGGACAAAGGAAGCAGUGCCCAGAAUCCACAAACUCUUCUCCAAAAUGGUAACCCUCUUGGAACAAGAAACAGCUUGUCAAAAUCCCAUCUUUCAUAAUGGAUUUUGCUACUUCUUGAUGGAGAAGGAUGCUUCCUGCAGCAGUAUUAUAGACUUACAAGACAUGAAUCAAUUUACAUUUUAAUCAUGGGGGGCCUAUACCAUCAAUUGGUGAGAGUGCUUUUAAUUUACCUGAACUCAGUCAUUGGGUUGAUCCCAGCAGAUUUGCUUCUACGGCAACACCUGCUUUUAUCAUAUCAUCUCUUGAGUAUUCAGCCUCCUUAAAAAUAAAUAAAUUCUCCUGAAACUGUGCUAAAUUCCUUACCAAUG